UAUUCUUAAGCGGGUUAUACUCUUAUGAAUUAAGUAAAAAUGUAUACUUGUAGGGGGUACAGGAAACUGGGAACUUGAACUAGCAAACGAAACGAUAAACAUUAAAUAUUAACAGCAUUUUCGAUGGCAUGUUAGGCGCGGCCCAAGAGAAAGACGUCGCUGAAACCGCAACAGUUAAGAGCAAUGGCCAUCUGAGCAUCCAGCAGAAAUUGCGGCACUAGAUAUUUGGCCAUUAAUCUAGAUGAGCGACACGUUUGGGCCAGGGCCCUCAGACUUUAUAAGAGCCAAGCUGUCGGGGGCCAGAACUCAGAAAACCACAAAAUGGAGAGUCUGCGCUGCAAGAUCCUACAGACGGCUGUGCUGCUGGUACUGGUAGCGUUCCAGAUCGGAGCGGAGCAUCUGGGCAGCGAAGAUUGCGGGUGCGGCAGGCGAGGAUGAGCGGGAUGCGGGAUGUGGGAUGACAUCUCCAGAAGAAAUUCACCAGAACAUCAAUAAACAAGCGACGAGCAAUGCACUACAUUUUU
This 524-nucleotide small RNA is filed under the name Drosophila ananassae. RNAcentral describes it as "GF26945". The record is from RNAcentral. Lineage: Eukaryota; Metazoa; Arthropoda; Insecta; Diptera; Drosophilidae.